Long non-coding RNA from Nomascus leucogenys (northern white-cheeked gibbon), 796 nucleotides. RefSeq lists it as uncharacterized. The transcript is spliced from 3 exons. The record is from RefSeq and is a predicted model, not a curated record. NCBI's taxonomy places the organism in Eukaryota, Metazoa, Chordata, Mammalia, Primates, Hylobatidae.
ACAGAGUAAGACUCUGUCUCAAAAAAAAUAAAAAAGGAAACCAUCAGCACCACUUCUAAUACUUUCUGCCAAAGGGGCUGAAAACAAGAAUCUGCUGUCAGGGAUCUGGGUCAGUAAGAAUGAGUGAGUGAAGAGGAAGGAGGAAAAACCAAGACAUGACAACCUUUAGAGAAGCAAAAAUAAAACUCUAAUGUGGAAACUGCUGAAAAUAGACUGCCUGGGCUGUCAGACUGCAUGCAAAUCUCAUGCUAAUCACAUGGAAAUUAAUUACAAGUCCUAACUUCCAUAUGUCUCGAUAUGACCCUUGGGGGAAAUCCUGCUGCAAGUGUCUACUCCCCACCACAGACGAGUGAGUGGAACACAGGCUUCGAUGUCGCCUCCUUCAUACUCGGCUCUUGCCACUGCAGUGAGAGGAGGCUAAAAAUAUUAACAAUAGAAAUUUGAUUUCUUCUUUCAGACAAAAAGCCUUGGCAUCCACGGGAGGAAGAAGUGUUCAGGCAGCAUGUGACUGGUUAUUCUCCCACGUCGGUGACCCCUUCCUGGAUGACCCCCUGCCCGGGAGUACGUCCUCUACCUCCGUCCCACCGGCCCCUUAGCACAGAAGCUUUCCGACUUUUGGCAGCAGUCGAAGCAGAUCUGCGGGAAGAACAAGGCACACAACAUCUUCCCACACAUCACACUCUGCCAGUUCUUUAUGUGCGAGGACAGCAAGGUGGAUGCCCUGGGGGAAGCUCUGCAGACCACGGUCAGUCGCUGGAAAUGUAAGUUCUCGGCCCCGCUGCCCCUGGAGCUCUAU